ACUAAAUAGAUACCCUGGUAGUCCACGCCCUAAACGAUGUCUACUAGUUGUUGGUGGAGUAAAAUCCAUGAGUAAACGCAGCUAAACGCGUGAAGUAGACCGCCUGGGGAGUACGGUCGCAAGAUUAAAACUCAAAUGAAUUGACGGGGGCCCGCACAAGCGGUGGAUUAUGUGGAUUAAUUCGAUGCAACGCGAAAACCUUACCUGGCCUUGACAUGUAGCGAACUUUCCAGAGAUGGAUUGGUGCCCGUAAGGGAACGCUAACACAGGUGCUGCAUGGCUGUCGUCAGCUCGUGUCGUGAGAUGUUGGGUUAAGUCCCGCAACGAGCGCAACCCUUGCCAAUAAUUGCCAUCAUUUAGUUGGGCAC
RNAcentral lists this ribosomal RNA (368 nucleotides) under uncultured bacterium. RNAcentral's name for it is "bacterial SSU rRNA". It matches the Rfam family "Bacterial small subunit ribosomal RNA", at positions 772 to 1138 of the family's 1533-position model. The record is from RNAcentral.